AUGUGUGGCCAACUCUUUCCAUUAGGGAUUCAAAGGAGGUUCUUCCUAGAGGACCUGGCGACAAGUUUCCUGAGAUCACAGGAGGAUUCAGGUGACCUCAGGAGGUCUGUAUCAGGACUACGAGAUGAGACCAGCUCAGGGCUUUAUGCAGUUGGUCUUGAAAGCCUCCAAGGAUGGAGACUGCACAACCACGAGUCUGAUCAGCUUGGCAGAACGUGGAUGUCCACCUGGGCUGCACAGCUCAACCCACACAGACCUACAACUUUGCAAGAGUAUGAGAAACAACAACAGCAAAGCAGACUUUGCAAGAUUUCCCCCAUGCAUGUCAGUCCUUCAGCUGACUUUUCAUUAUACUUGGCCAGUGGUGCAGAAAGGCCCCUUCCAACCCAAACUGUCCUGAGAUUCAGUGAUGGGUCAGCCUGGGAUGGAGCCACCGAUUUGGAAGUUGUUGUGUAUGACUAUCACUGGAAAUUGAAUCGUGAAAUCCAGAGGGAACUGAUCCUCUCAGAUCCUCCAGCGCGGUGCUUGCUUAGAGUCCGCCUGAAGCAUGCACGGAUCCAGAUUUGUGCCUCUUCUCUCCCCACUUCCUUACACCAUGUCAACAUUACCUAGAAAACAUACAGAACAAGAAGGGAAAAAAACAAAUGUAGAACAUCCCAAAGACAUCGUGAAGUGCUGUCUGCUGAAAGUGAAACGGAGAUUGGAUUCAUGAAGUGGAUUAAACCAAUAAAUAUGAUUGCUUCUUUGGAGGCUACA
RNAcentral lists this long non-coding RNA (756 nucleotides) under Anas platyrhynchos platyrhynchos (common mallard). RNAcentral describes it as "lncRNA (ENSAPLG00000028705.1)". The record is from RNAcentral. Lineage: Eukaryota; Metazoa; Chordata; Aves; Anseriformes; Anatidae.